This 460-nucleotide ribosomal RNA is filed under the name uncultured bacterium. RNAcentral describes it as "partial 16S ribosomal RNA". It matches the Rfam family "Bacterial small subunit ribosomal RNA", at positions 338 to 795 of the family's 1533-position model. The record is from RNAcentral.
CCUACGGGAGACAGCAGUGAGGAAUAUUGGUCAAUGGACGAGAGUCUGAACCAGCCAAGUAGCGUGAAGGAUGACUGCCCUAUGGGUUGUGAACUUCUUUUAUAUGGGAAUAAAAUGUUCCACGUGUGGGUUUUUGUAUGUACCAUAUGAAUAAGGAUCGGCUAACUCCGUGCCAGCAGCCGCGGUAAUACGGAGGAUCCGAGCGUUAUCCGGAUUUAUUGGGUUUAAAGGGAGCGUAGGUGGAUUGUUAAGUCAGUUGUGAAAGUUUGCGGCUCAACCGUAAAAUUGCAGUUGAAAAUGGCAGUGGUGAGUACAGUAGAGGUGGGCGGAAUUCGUGGGGUAGCGGUGAAAUGCUGAGAUAUCACGAAGAACUCCGAGUGCGAAGGCAGCUCACUGGACUGCAACUGACACUGAGGCUCGAAAGUGUGGGUAUCAAACAGGAAUAGAUACCCUUGUAGUC